RNAcentral lists this ribosomal RNA (507 nucleotides) under Triticum aestivum (bread wheat). Its description in RNAcentral is "partial small subunit ribosomal RNA". Lineage: Eukaryota; Viridiplantae; Streptophyta; Magnoliopsida; Poales; Poaceae. The record is from RNAcentral.
CCCCUUAACCAUGACAGGUACGCUAUUGUUUUAGUCCAUCCUCCAGUCCCUGAUCAUCAAAAGGAGUUCUGGCUAGCCGAGGUCUGUCGCAUUAUCACUGGGGAUCUAGAGUAUGAUUUGGUGGAUGAUUUUAUUUACCCGCUGGGAAUUGGAUGUGUGGUUUUUGCGGAUAUGGAGAGUAGGGAUGCUGCCAUUAGAGAGGGGCCUCACGCUCUGACUGAGGAUUCUACUUUCUCUUUAGUCCCUCAUGACGAAUGUUUCAAUAUGCGCAUGCCUGCUUUUGAAUAUGAGGUUUGGGUCAUGUUUCUCGCUCUCCCAAUGGACUAUCAGACUGAACACUAUAUUCAUAAGGCUGUCUCUAACUUUGGAAAACUUCUUGUCUGGCCACGCCCGGGUCACAACAAAGCUAGAGUUCUGGUUAAGUGUCAUAUCAAAGAUGUUGCUGAGGUGCCGCAUAGUCUGUUGGUUACCAGGGUUGGUUUGCUGCCAGGUCUUGCUCGAUCUUGA